CUUUCUAAACCAUAUGAACAAACAGGGAAAACAUGCCAUUUGAAUCAAAACAGUAGAAAAGAUCUCCAGAAACUAUUAUCCUAAAUUACCAUGAACAUGUCCCUGACCACAACAUUGACCUUGGCCACAUCCAUGACAAUUCCCCUGACCGCUUCCCUGUCCGGCGCCGCAUCCCUGGCCACUUCCGUUGCCUCUUCCCUGACCAGCACCCUCACCAGCUCCUGCGCCCUGACCAGCUCCGCUUCCGUCUCCGCUUCCCUGUCCAGCUCCGCUUCCCUCGCCGCUUCCCUGUCCAGCUCUGCUUCCCUGUCCAGCUCCGCUUCCCUGUCCAGCUCCAGCGCCCUGACCAGCCCCUGCGCCGCUUCCCUCUCCAGCUCAUGCGCCGCUUCCCUCUCCAGCUCCUGCGCCGCUUCCCUCUCCAGCUCCUGCGCCG
Long non-coding RNA from Carassius carassius (crucian carp), 433 nucleotides. RefSeq lists it as uncharacterized. The record is from RefSeq and is a predicted model, not a curated record. The transcript is spliced from 4 exons. Lineage: Eukaryota; Metazoa; Chordata; Actinopteri; Cypriniformes; Cyprinidae.